This is a long non-coding RNA of Oncorhynchus tshawytscha (Chinook salmon), 983 nucleotides long. The record is from Ensembl. Lineage: Eukaryota; Metazoa; Chordata; Actinopteri; Salmoniformes; Salmonidae.
AGGUAAGCAGGGUAGACAGAGGUAAGCAGGGUACACAGAGGUAACCAGGGUACACAGAGGUAACCAGGGUACACAGAGGUAACCAGGGUACACAGAGCAGAGGUAAGCAGGGUACACAGAGGUAAGCAUCGACCUGGAUGGCAGACAUUACGUCUCAUAUACCAGUCAGGAAUCGCUGUUCAGUCAGGAAUCGCUGUUCAGUCAGGAAUCGCUGUUCAGUCAGGAGUCGCUGUUCAGUCAGGAGUCGCUGUUCAGUCAGGAAUCGCUGUUCAGUCAGGAAUCGCUGUUCAGUCAGGAAUCGCUGUUCAGUCAGGAAUCGCUGUUCAGUCAGGAAUCGCUGUUCAGUCAGGAGUCGCUGUUCAGUCAGGAAUCGCUGUUCAGUCAGGAGUCGUUGUUCAGUCAGGAGUCGCUGUUCAGUCAGGAAUCGCUGUUCAGUCAGGAGUCGUUGUUCAGUCAGGAAUCGCUGUUCAGUCAGGAAUCGCUGUUCAGUUCAGGAAUCGUUGUCGACGGUGACUUCACAUUUUCAUUUCAAUAUACUGUUACCUCUUUACUUAGGUUGACGGCAUGACGUUGAUUCAUUUUACUCUCAACAUUGAAACAAGGUGAAAUAAAUGCCUAAUCAAAUAUAAAAUGUUUCAUCAUUUCAAUCACUCAAUGACUAAAUCUACCAACCUGCCCCCAGAACAGCAUAUGAACGCGUUCCACAGGGAUGCUGAGCCCAUGUGGAUGUCCUUUGGGUGGUGGACCAUGCUUGAUACACACAGGAAACUGUUGAGUGUGAAAAACCCAGCGCCUGGCACCUAUCGUCAUACCUUGUUUAAAGACACUUCAAUCUUCUGUCUCGUCCGUUCACCCUCUGAAUGGCACACACACAAUCCAUGUCUCAGCUGUCUCAGGGCUUAAAUAUCCAACUUUAACCCGUCUCCUCCCCUUCAUCUAUACUGAUUGAAGUGGAUUUAACUGGGGACAUUAAUAAGGGAUCA